GCGAGCGGCGGACGGGUGAGUAAUGCCUAGGGAUCUGCCCAGUCGAGGGGGAUAACAGUUGGAAACGACUGCUAAUACCGCAUACGCCCUACGGGGGAAAGGAGGGGACCUUCGGGCCUUNCGCGAUUGGAUGAACCUAGGUGGGAUUAGCUAGUUGGUGAGGUAAUGGCUCACCAAGGCGACGAUCCCUAGCUGUUCUGAGAGGAUGAUCAGCCACACUGGGACUGAGACACGGCCCAGACUCCUACGGGAGGCAGCAGUGGGGAAUAUUGCACAAUGGGCGAAAGCCUGAUGCAGCCAUGCCGCGUGUGUGAAGAAGGCCUUCGGGUUGUAAAGCACUUUCAGUAGGGAGGAAAGGCAGUAGUUUAAUAAACUGUUGCUGUGACGUUACCUACAGAAGAAGGACCGGCUAACUCCGUGCCAGCAGCCGCGGUAAUACGGAGGGUCCGAGCGUUAAUCGGAAUUACUGGGCGUAAAGCGUGCGCAGGCGGUUUUUUAAGCCAGAUGUGAAAGCCCUGGGCUCAACCUAGGAAUUGCAUUUGGAACUGGGGAACUAGAGUCUUGUAGAGGGAGGUAGAAUUUCAGGUGUAGCGGUGAAAUGCGUAGAUAUCUGAAGGAAUACCGGUGGCGAAGGCGGCCUCCUGGACAAAGACUGACGCUCAUGCACGAAAGCGUGGGGAGCAAACAGGAUUA
RNAcentral lists this ribosomal RNA (693 nucleotides) under Shewanella sp. B07. RNAcentral describes it as "bacterial SSU rRNA". It matches the Rfam family "Bacterial small subunit ribosomal RNA", at positions 91 to 780 of the family's 1533-position model. The record is from RNAcentral. Lineage: Bacteria; Pseudomonadati; Pseudomonadota; Gammaproteobacteria; Alteromonadales; Shewanellaceae.